AUUGAACGCUGGCGGCAGGCCUAACACAUGCAAGUCGAGCGGAGCGGCGGACGGGUGAGUAAUGCCUAGGAGUCUGCCUGGUAGUGGGGGAUAACUUCCGGAAACGGGCACUAAUACCGACUACUAUCGGCUGAGCCUAGGUCGGAUUCGCUAGUUGGUGGGGGAAAGGCCUACCAAGGCGACGAUCCGUAACUGGUCUGAGAGGAGGAUCAGUCACACUGGAACUGAGACACGGUCCAGACUCCUACGGUAGGCAGCAGUGGGGAAUAUUGGACAAUGGGCGAAAGCCUGAUCCAGCCAUGCCGCGUGUGUGAAGAAGGUCUUCGGAUUGUAAAGCACUUUAAGUUGGGAGGCGUUACCAACAGAAUAAGCACCGGCUAACUCCGUGCCAGCAGCCGCGGUAAUAC
This 407-nucleotide ribosomal RNA is filed under the name uncultured bacterium. RNAcentral's name for it is "partial 16S ribosomal RNA". It matches the Rfam family "Bacterial small subunit ribosomal RNA", at positions 30 to 526 of the family's 1533-position model. The record is from RNAcentral.